This 429-nucleotide ribosomal RNA is filed under the name Chloroflexota bacterium. Its description in RNAcentral is "Chloroflexi bacterium partial 16S ribosomal RNA". It matches the Rfam family "Bacterial small subunit ribosomal RNA", at positions 355 to 776 of the family's 1533-position model. Lineage: Bacteria; Bacillati; Chloroflexota. The record is from RNAcentral.
UGGGGAAUAUUGCACAAUGGGCGCAAGCCUGAUGCAGCCAUGCCGCGUGUGUGAAGAAGGCCUUCGGGUUGUAAAGCACUUUCAGCGGGGAGGAAGGCGAUAAGGUUAAUAACCUUGUCGAUUGACGUUACCCGCAGAAGAAGCACCGGCUAACUCCGUGCCAGCAGCCGCGGUAAUACGGAGGGUGCAAGCGUUAAUCGGAAUUACUGGGCGUAAAGCGCACGCAGGCGGUUUGUUAAGUCAGAUGUGAAAUCCUCGGGCUCAACCUGGGAACUGCAUCUGAUACUGGCAAGCUUGAGUCUCGUAGAGGGGGGUAGAAUUCCAGGUGUAGCGGUGAAAUGCGUAGAGAUCUGGAGGAAUACCGGUGGCGAAGGCGGCCCCCUGGACGAAGACUGACGCUCAGGUGCGAAAGCGUGGGGAGCAAACAGG